UUCUAUUGUCUUCUUCCCUCCAUUUCUCAUUCACACCAACUUAGCUAGCUUUAAUCAUUAACUAGUUUUAACAGAUAGUGUGUACAAAUAUGAUAGCAUCCGAGGCAGGAGCAGGUGCAGGCGCAUCCACUGCAACUACAUUUUGAAUACCGGACAUGGCCACCAACACGACCAUGAGAACCACCAAGAAAACAUUCAUCUUCAUUGUUUCCAUUGAAAUAAUUUUGAAGAAAUUAAACAAACUUUUGAGAAAAAAGAAAUCACAAACAAAUUAUCGAAAGAAGAAAAGAAUGCAAGAGUUUGAGG
Molecule: long non-coding RNA, 306 nt
Filed under: Nicotiana benthamiana
Lineage: Eukaryota; Viridiplantae; Streptophyta; Magnoliopsida; Solanales; Solanaceae
Description: long non-coding RNA (NBEN_LNC007662)
Source: RNAcentral